Molecule: small nucleolar RNA, 139 nt
Organism: Grammomys surdaster
Lineage: Eukaryota; Metazoa; Chordata; Mammalia; Rodentia; Muridae
Product: small nucleolar RNA SNORA48
Exons: 1
Source: RefSeq, a predicted model, not a curated record
UGCUCUCUGCCAAUGGGCAAAGAGACACCUGUUGGUGGUGGCGUUCUUAGUCAGAGGCAGAGCAGAUGGCAGUUUUUUGUUCAUCCUAGCUUGACACCAUGCUUGGUAGUCAAAUCUGUUUUAUGCCUAGGACUCAUAC